GGUUACUUACAUACCAUAAGAAUGUCCAAUCUCUUUUGAUCUCGGAAGCUUAGCAGGGCUGGGCCUGAUUAGCACCAGGAUGGGCGACUGCUGAGAAUACCAGGUGUCAUAG
RNAcentral lists this ribosomal RNA (112 nucleotides) under Periophthalmus magnuspinnatus. The record is from RNAcentral. Lineage: Eukaryota; Metazoa; Chordata; Actinopteri; Gobiiformes; Gobiidae.